RNAcentral lists this ribosomal RNA (253 nucleotides) under uncultured bacterium. Its description in RNAcentral is "partial 16S ribosomal RNA". It matches the Rfam family "Bacterial small subunit ribosomal RNA", at positions 524 to 776 of the family's 1533-position model. The record is from RNAcentral.
UACGGGGGGGGCAAGCGUUGUCCGGAAUUAUUGGGCGUAAAGAGCUCGUAGGCGGUUUGUCGCGUCUGCUGUGAAAUCCCGAGGCUCAACCUCGGGCUUGCAGUGGGUACGGGCAGACUAGAGUGCGGUAGGGGAGACUGGAAUUCCUGGUGUAGCGGUGAAAUGCGCAGAUAUCAGGAGGAACACCGGUGGCGAAGGCGGGUCUCUGGGCCGAUAUUGACGCUGAGGAGCGAAAGCGUGGGGAGCGAACAGG